Vicia villosa (hairy vetch) is the source of this 1511-nucleotide long non-coding RNA. RefSeq lists it as uncharacterized. The record is from RefSeq and is a predicted model, not a curated record. NCBI's taxonomy places the organism in Eukaryota, Viridiplantae, Streptophyta, Magnoliopsida, Fabales, Fabaceae. The transcript is spliced from 2 exons.
UAAAUCAUCCCUUCUAACAUUGAGUUUUAAAGUUUUCCUCUUAUUUGAAUUAAUCCUUACUUUCUCUUUCUAUGCAAAUAACUUCAAGUAAUCACAAAUCCCUGAAAGCAAAAAUGUAUGUUUGUUAGGAUAUGAUGACAUGACACAAAUGUUUCACACACAUAAAGACCGGUGACAACUGUCCUAGUCAGCACAACAAACUCACUAAAAAAGGAAAGCAAAGAGAAAGCUUGGUCAUUUUCUUUUUAAAAAAACUUUCCUCUCUCUUCACAAAACGAAAGAAUAAUAUGUUUUGAAAAUUAACAUCCAGAAACCCUAAACUGACCUCAAUCGACCGAAUCGAAACCGUUCCCAAACCUAAACCUAGAAUACAAAACCCAAUCAAAUCGCUCGAUUCAAGUAUGGAAAGGAGCGCACGAAGACUCUAAGCGUGGAUUGUCAGACAAAGUAUACAACGGACUUCAAACAAACAAGAUUGAAAUGAAAAGUUUUGAAGAUUCAAACAAAAAAAUGAAGUCCGACGCUUCAAAAGCAACAAAAACAACACAUAUAUGAGACUUAUGAACAACAAAGGUCAGAGGAAAAUACCUAGUCGGAUGUUCCCAAGGUAAAGAUCUCCACAGGUUUGAAAAAAGAAUGAAGAUGAAGCCAAGGUCAUGGAAUCCGAAUCAUUUGCAACAAUUUGAGCCCAAAUUUCCUCAUGAGGUAACCUUGCUCUCUUCUUGAAUGUCCUGUCUUGAAAUUAAGGGUCCAACAUUUGUGUUACUUUGAUAUGAUAAUGAAGCAUAUUUCUUUGGUUAUUAUGGCAUACUUGAAUUGAACCUCAUUUUUUGUAUAAUGCAUUGCCGCAUCAUAGCCUUGGAUUAAGUGUCUUUCUGACUUGCUUGUAAACUAAUUUUGAUCAUGCAUCUAUUGAUUGAACUGAAGUUGGAUUGUUCUGUUCUGGUUUGAAUUGCCAAAAUGAAAACACCAUGUUUAGACUUGCCUUGUAGAUUUGAACUGGAUGUCCAUAAUGCUUAUGUUUUAGCAGACUUGGUGCAUGACAUAACUUUCAAAAUGACACCUUUACUUGGCAUUUUUGGAUAUUUUACUUGGCUUGGCUCCACUAGUUUCACAGGUUUGAAUUCGUGAGCUGCAUAUCAGGACCGCUUCAAAUGGUGACUCCAACAGUGGAUGAACAUGCAGGAUCAUGAAUGGGAACAGAAUUUGAAACUUAUGUGCCAAGAAGGAAUUUUGAAUCAAUUUGGAAUUGCUUGAACUUGCACCUUUUGAUGGUUGGAGUUUAAGAACAAGUGGUAGUAACCGGUGAUCGUCCGAACCGUCCUUCAUCUAAACCUCAAGACUUGUGGUUUUGCACGAAUUGCCAUACAAACUGCUCGUAAUUUCCGCACUUCUUAUUUAAACUUGAGUUUUGUGGUUUAAUAUCGUAACUCUCUUAUUUUUUGUAUUAUGCAAAUUCAACUGUGCAAGACUUAUUGUUUGUGUCAAUUAUUAAAGCAUUGCUACUCAAA